GAUGAACGCUGGCGGCGUGCCUAACACAUGCAAGUCGAACGGACAAAGAGGAGCUUGCUCCUCUGCGUUAGUGGCGGACGGGUGAGUAACGCGUGAGCAACCUGCCUUUCAGAGGGGGAUAACAUCGGGAAACCGGUGCUAAUACCGCAUGAUGUGCGAGAACCGCAUGAUUCUUGUACCAAAGGAGCAAUCCGCUGAAAGAUGGGCUCGCGUCUGAUUAGAUAGUUGGUGAGGUAACGGCCCACCAAGUCGACGAUCAGUAGCCGGACUGAGAGGUUGAACGGCCACAUUGGGACUGAGACACGGCCCAGACUCCUACGGGAGGCAGCAGUGGGGAAUAUUGCACAAUGGGGGAAACCCUGAUGCAGCAACGCCGCGUGAGGGAAGACGGUUUUCGGAUUGUAAACCUUUGUCUUUGGUGAAGAAGAAGUGACGGUAGCCAAGGAGGAAGCCACGGCUAACUACGUG
RNAcentral lists this ribosomal RNA (468 nucleotides) under uncultured bacterium. RNAcentral's name for it is "bacterial SSU rRNA". It matches the Rfam family "Bacterial small subunit ribosomal RNA", at positions 28 to 507 of the family's 1533-position model. The record is from RNAcentral.